MicroRNA precursor from Oryza sativa Japonica Group (Japanese rice), 199 nucleotides. It matches the Rfam family "MIR812 microRNA precursor family". The record is from Rfam. Lineage: Eukaryota; Viridiplantae; Streptophyta; Magnoliopsida; Poales; Poaceae.
AAUAAAUACAUAUAUAGAUAUCCGUGCUUAAUGUUUGACCGUCCGUCUUAUUUGAAAAAAUUUAAAAAUAUUUAGUCACACAUAAAGUACUAUUAAUGUUUUAUCAUCUAAUAGCAAUAAAAAUACUAAUCAUAAAAAAAUUUCAAAUAAGACGAACGGUCAAACGUUGAAUUUUAGGACGGAGGAAGUAGCUCCCACG